Molecule: long non-coding RNA, 119 nt
Organism: Colias croceus (clouded yellow)
Lineage: Eukaryota; Metazoa; Arthropoda; Insecta; Lepidoptera; Pieridae
Exons: 3
Source: RefSeq, a predicted model, not a curated record
AUUAUGAAUACGCAUCAAGUGCACGCUAUACUCUUAUCUGUAAUGGUUCUAUUCUUCGCGCAAAGUACAUGCGUCAAUGACUUCGGUCAAAUGAAGAGGUCUUGUAUAGCAAAGGCAAG